AUUCAUUCAUUUAUUCAUCAUACAAUAAUAUAGACUUCAAUACAACUUGAAAAGCAUAUUAAAACGGAUGGUUUUGUGAAAUAAAUACAUUGUAAUGGUAUGAGUGGCAUGAAAAACUGUAUUCUAAGUUCAUUAACUGAUAUAUAAUAUAUAUAAAUUUAUAUUUUUGACAUUGAGUAUAUAAAUUUCUUUUUUUGCAAUUAAACACACACCAACUUUAUAUGUUAAAAUAGUAAAGUUUACUCACAAAUUUCUAAUAAUUACUUAUUAGAAGUAAAAAUAAUAAUACAACAGAAAGACAACCAUAUACCAUUAGAUGUUGUUUUCAAUCAUAUGAAGUCAAAAAUUCAGAGAAACCUCUGUCUUAACAUUUUACAGUUCAUACAGGUCAACGAGAAAAUAUGAAUACAAUUAUGAUGCUAACAUCACCCUGCUCACUCACUUCUUUUAAGUUUCAUAUCACAGCUUUGAGACAUGAUCAGAAAUAGCAUGAUAAACAGAUUAUCAGGUUUUCUGAGUAAAGAUAUUGUAUAUUGUAUAUAUGAGCAGAACUUUAAAGUAAUGUCACAAUUUAGGAGAAUACGUUUUGUAAAUUGUCUUUAAAAGGUGAAUAAGACCAGAAAUAGCAUGAUAAAUAGAUUAUUAGGUUUCCUGAGAAAAGAUAUUGUAAAAUAUAAGUCAUUUUUGAUAGUUCCCUACCUUUUCUCCCAAAAGGGUUCACAUUGUGUAUUAUACAACAUUAAAGAGUCAAAAAAACCUGAUAAUUGUUUUGAAUCAAGGUAACUUAAGGAUGAUUAUAAGUAUUGCUUUCACACGGAGUAAAAAGUACUGGUAUGUCAACUAAUUAUCCUAACAAAACAAAUUUUUUAUCCAUUACCUGAUGACAACUGUUAUUUUGCUUCAUAAUAAAUUAGCAAGCACAAUAGAUGAAUGGAAGGUCCAAUGAUUCAUGUGGGUAUCUGAAACAUGACUUCUUAUGAUUCUUAGAAAUUCACCUACGACAUGGAUGAAUCUUGGAUGAAUCAUCUUAAAGUGACCGGUGUAUGGUAAACAUCUAUGUACAGAUACCAUUCAUAGAACAACCAAGCAAUAUUUAAAGUCACUAAUAAAAAUGCCAAGCUAGUAUUGGGGGUUUAUGGACAAAAAAUGUAAAAAUAUGUGCUUGUGAAAUCUUGUUAAUCAAUAAACCAACUGCAUAAUUAUUCCAAACACAAACAAGUUCCUAUAUUUCUACAUAUACAUUGUCAAACAAAAUCAUAUGGCACCAGUUAAAAAAAAAAAGAGGAAAAUAUGAUUACAUAUCCGUCUAGGCACUUACAUAGGUUUGUCAAUUAUCUCCCCUUGCAACCGUUAAACAAAAGCUUUUUAACAGUGAGUUGGUCAUCUAGCUGCAGAAAAAUAAUACAUAAUAUUUAAAUUCUAUGUAUGGUUGUUGUUCAAAGUUCCUUUUGACUAAAACACUCACCACUUUGUCUGCUUUACAUGGGAGUAUUACAAGGUAUGUUACAUACUGUAAGACCCAGACAAUAUUCAAGUUUUAAUAUUAUUUUUUUGUAAGACACAAUCUUUCUGUUAAAAGAAAAAAAAAAGAUCCUAAAAAUGUUUAUAAAACCUGUAUACAAUAUUCUGUACACAUAUAUGUUAUCAGAACUGACAUAGUUGCAUAAAAUGGAUGGUAAUUUAUCAAUAAAAUAUACCUUAUAGAGAAACAAGAAUGUGUCCAAAGUACACGGAUGCCCCCCUCACACUAUCCUUUUCCAUGUUCCAUGGACCGUGAAGUUGGGUAAUAAUCUAAUUUGGCAUUAAAAUUAGAAAGAUUAUACUAUAGGGAACAUAUGUACUAAGUUUCAAGUUGAUUGGACUUCAAUUUCAUCAAAUACUACCUUGACCAAAAACUUUAACCUGAAACUCCCACUUUCAUUUUCUAUGUUCAGAGGACCGUGA
This 1944-nucleotide long non-coding RNA is filed under the name Mytilus galloprovincialis (Mediterranean mussel). The record is from RNAcentral. Lineage: Eukaryota; Metazoa; Mollusca; Bivalvia; Mytilida; Mytilidae.